CCAAAGUGUUAAAAUCCCAGAGUAUUCAUGACCAGAGUAGAUUUUAUACACUUUGGUGUUGAAAAGGCACUAAGUACAUUUUUUGGGGUGUACCAGAAACACUCUUGGGUGUUGUCUCUAAGUAUAAUGCUGGUGUAGAGUAAUUUCAGUGUAUAUUUUAGGAUGAUGGACUCCCUGAGUGUCCAACGGUUAGGUUUCGAUUCGUCAUUGGGUCGCUGCGCCUUCUCAUUGGUUGAAUCUAGAGACAUGUGACCGUUUGUCCUCUUCCACACUACGCGGCAAACUGUUUCGGCAGAGACGGUUGGUUGACUAGAGACGAGGAUCGAAUCAACGAAGCCAUUUUUGAACUUCACGGCAAUGUAACAGUGGAAGGACGACAACAAUGCUGUUCAAAGUGCAAUACCACGGAAAGAAGAAGUACAUUAACUUAAUGGAGACUCACAUUCAGAAUUUCUCAAAGAGGCUAAAGUGAAGUUCAGCAUCUCCACUGAGACAGACAUAUAUGUGCUGGAUGACACUGGAACAGAGGUCGAUGAAGAGGUCUUCACCGACAUCCUGGAGGAAAAAAACGGACAUCCUGUGGACGAUUGUUGAUGUUCUUUCAGUCUCUGACUCUCCUGUCCCAUCCUCAUGCAAUGACACCUUGUCACUAUCGUCACCCACAUCAGAGAGUGAUACUUCUCUGAUGUCUUCAAAAAGAUGGCCCAUCGAUAAUUCCUUUCUAAUGUCUCCAAAAAGACAGUGCACAGAUGACACCAUCUUGAAGUCCACACAAAGUCAGCAUAUUGAUGACAGUUCUUCACAGGCCAAAGAGCUUGUCAAGAGAGUUCUGGAACAAAAGCCUGGAGGGGAGAAGAUACUUAAAGAAUAUGCCAUGAGAGGAGAGAUUAAGGACCGGACACGCCGUGAACUUGUCAACAUCAUUGUUGCUGAUAUGGUG
Molecule: long non-coding RNA, 940 nt
Organism: Gadus chalcogrammus (walleye pollock)
Lineage: Eukaryota; Metazoa; Chordata; Actinopteri; Gadiformes; Gadidae
Exons: 5
Source: RefSeq, a predicted model, not a curated record